GAUAAGGGCAGUGACCAGUGCUAGCUUGGGUCUUUUAGCUCAUAGCUUUAGCGGCAGACGGUUGUACGUCACGGUGUUGGAAUGCUCUACAGUGAAAUACAGACACACUUUGAGAAUCAGCAACAAUAAAAAGAGACGUGACAGAAGGAAGAAGACGGAGAAGGAGAAUGGGGGGAAAAUGAUGGGACGACAUUUUAAACAAUGUCUGUCAUGGUCGUGAUGUGUGAGUUGGUGAAAUGUCAGCUGUGUCCUGAAGAUGACGGUGAGCAUGGAGAAACCAAUGGCAGCAGCCAGUCCCAGGUCAGGGUUGAAUAGCAAGG
Long non-coding RNA from Etheostoma spectabile (orangethroat darter), 320 nucleotides. RefSeq lists it as uncharacterized. The record is from RefSeq and is a predicted model, not a curated record. The transcript has 3 exons. NCBI's taxonomy places the organism in Eukaryota, Metazoa, Chordata, Actinopteri, Perciformes, Percidae.